UGAGAUUAUCUGAGAAACUUGCAAAAAGGAUACCAAUGGUCAGGGAGUACCUCAGACCAACUCGAUCAGAUUUCUGGUGGUUGGCAUGGGGAUUGGGAUUGUAUGGAAAUGUUCUCCAGGUGACUUUAAUAGCAGCUGGCCAAGUCUGCAUUUGUGGAAAUCUGCAGUAUUUGAAGUUUGGAGGAGAUCAAUUUUUCAUCCUUUCCUUCGUGGGAUAAAGAAUAUUUCAACCACCUCUGGAGACCAAAGAGUUCUGAGAAGUUUUGAAAUAGCUUGGGAAAUACACCACGUGCUUCACACUUCAUUUUUCUCCUCUCUCUUUCAUUGUUUGACUUAAUUAAAAUAUUGUAAUGCAAGAAGGAGAGAUGAGGCAAACGUUUAGAGAAGGAAAAGGAAAUGGGUUCAUGUUUAAACUGACUCUGAGCAAGCAUGGCGAUGGUAGUUUGAAAGAAUUCUGAGCAUGUAGGAAGGUAAACUCAAAAUGUUCUUCCUGCCUGAGAAGUGAUUAAAAUACCUGUGAGCAC
RNAcentral lists this long non-coding RNA (524 nucleotides) under Homo sapiens (human). RNAcentral describes it as "HSALNT0358567". The record is from RNAcentral. Lineage: Eukaryota; Metazoa; Chordata; Mammalia; Primates; Hominidae.